GGCUUGCUGGUCUAGUGGUAUGAUUCUCGCUUCGGGUGCGAGAGGUCACGGGUUCGAUUCCCGUGCAAGCCA
This 72-nucleotide transfer RNA is filed under the name Paramuricea clavata. It matches the Rfam family "tRNA". Rfam says of the family: Transfer RNA (tRNA) molecules are approximately 80 nucleotides in length. Lineage: Eukaryota; Metazoa; Cnidaria; Anthozoa; Malacalcyonacea; Plexauridae. The record is from Rfam by way of RNAcentral.